AGAGUUUGAUCCUGGCUCAGGGUGAAUGCUGGCGGCGUGGAUAAGUCAUGCAAGUCAAGGGGGCCCGCAAGGGCAACCGGCAAACGAGGUAGUAACACGUAGGUAGACCCCCCAGAGUCGGGCAUAGCCAGCCGAAAGGUUGGGUAAUUCCCGAUAGUCCCGAAAGGGUAAAGGUUUUUCGCUCUGGGGAGUUGCCUGCGUAGUAUCAGCUAGUUGGUAGGGUAAUGGCCUACCAAGGCUACGACGCUUAGGGGAGCUGAGAGGCUGACCCCCACCGAUGGAACUGCGACACGGUCCAUACUCCUACGGGGAGGCUGCAGACGAGAAUAUUCCGCAAUGGGCGAAAGCCUGACGGAGCGACGCCGCGUGAUUGAUGAAGUGCUUCGGUACGUAAAGAUCUUUUAUCGGGGACGAAGUUUAUUGACGGUACCCGAUGAAUAAGGGGCUCCUAACUCUGUG
This 459-nucleotide ribosomal RNA is filed under the name uncultured bacterium. Its description in RNAcentral is "bacterial SSU rRNA". It matches the Rfam family "Bacterial small subunit ribosomal RNA", at positions 8 to 507 of the family's 1533-position model. The record is from RNAcentral.